GUCUAAAUAGUUUAAUUUAAAAUACCGAUUUGUGGUGUCGGUGAUGUGGUUCGUGUUACUUUUGACU
This 67-nucleotide transfer RNA is filed under the name Heterotermes tenuis. RNAcentral describes it as "tRNA-His". Lineage: Eukaryota; Metazoa; Arthropoda; Insecta; Blattodea; Rhinotermitidae. The record is from RNAcentral.